This 293-nucleotide ribosomal RNA is filed under the name uncultured bacterium. Its description in RNAcentral is "partial 16S ribosomal RNA". It matches the Rfam family "Bacterial small subunit ribosomal RNA", at positions 775 to 1067 of the family's 1533-position model. The record is from RNAcentral.
GGAUUAGAUACCCUGGUAGUCCACGCCGUAAACGAUGUCAACUAGCCGUUGGGGAUCUUGAAUCUUUAGUGGCGCAGCUAACGCAUUAAGUUGACCGCCUGGGGAGUACGCCGGCAACGGUAAAACUCAAAGGAAUUGACGGGGGCCCGCACAAGCGGUGGAGCAUGUGGUUUAAUUCGAUGCAACGCGAAGAACCUUACCAGCCCUUGACAUGUAGCGAACUUUCUAGAGAUAGAUUGGUGCCUUCGGGAACGCUAACACAGGUGCUGCAUGGCUGUCGUCAGCUCGUGCCG